AGCGAACGCUGGCGGCAGGCCUAACACAUGCAAGUCGAACGAACUCUUCGGAGUUAGUGGCGGACGGGUGAGCAACACGUGGGAACGUGCCUUUAGGUUCGGAAUAACUCAGGGAAACUUGUGCUAAUACCGAAUGUGCCCUUCGGGGGAAAGAUUUAUCGCCUUUAGAGCGGCCCGCGUCUGAUUAGCUAGUUGGUGAGGUAAAGGCUCACCAAGGCGACGAUCAGUAGCUGGUCUGAGAGGAUGAUCAGCCACAUUGGGACUGAGACACGGCCCAAACUGCUACGGGAGGCAGCAGUGGGGAAUCUUGCGCAAUGGGCGAAAGCCUGACGCAGCCAUGCCGCGUGAAUGAUGAAGGUCUUAGGAUUGUAAAAUUCUUUCACCGGGGACGAUAAUGACGGUACCCGGAGAAGAAGCCCCGGCUAACUUCGUGCCAGCCGCCGCAGUAA
This 449-nucleotide ribosomal RNA is filed under the name uncultured bacterium. RNAcentral's name for it is "partial 16S ribosomal RNA". It matches the Rfam family "Bacterial small subunit ribosomal RNA", at positions 29 to 523 of the family's 1533-position model. The record is from RNAcentral.